Molecule: ribosomal RNA, 253 nt
Filed under: uncultured bacterium
Lineage: Bacteria
Description: partial 16S ribosomal RNA
Rfam family: Bacterial small subunit ribosomal RNA
Source: RNAcentral
UACGGAGGAGGCAAGCGUUAUCCGGAAUUAUUGGGCGUAAAGCGUCCGCAGGUGGCACCUCAAGUCUGCUGUCAAAGACCGGGGCUUAACCCCAGAAAGGCAGUGGAAACUGAAGUGCUAGAGUGCAGUAGGGGUAGAGGGAAUUCCCGGCGUAGCGGUGAAAUGCGUAGAGAUCGGGAAGAACAUCGGUGGCGAAAGCGCUCUGCUGGACUGCAACUGACACUCAGGGACGAAAGCUAGGGGAGCGAAUGGG